GCCCCAAGUAACAUACAAAAAAUCCAAUCAUUUCAAUCCAUCUGCCUUCGCACUAUUACAAAAUCCCCCUGGUAUGUAAGUAACGAAACCCUUCACUCAGACCUGAGAAUAAAUUACGUAAACCAAGUCACUAAAACUGCUUACCAAAAACUCCACAAAAAAUUUAGCUCCCAUAGUAACCCUAACAUUAGUUAUCUUGCUUCACAACACAUCCCGGACAACCCCCCACGAAGACUUAAACGAAAAUGGGUUAGAGACCUUCUCCAUUAAUAAAUAC
Cinara cedri is the source of this 277-nucleotide non-coding RNA. The record is from the annotation of a GenBank genome assembly. NCBI's taxonomy places the organism in Eukaryota, Metazoa, Arthropoda, Insecta, Hemiptera, Aphididae.